GGAAAAGUUGCAGUUGGUGUUUGGUGUCUGAUUUGGAAAAGAUCCUGGCUGGGAUAGCCUUUGUCAGCUCCCUCCUUAUUGAUGUGUUAUAGCUGGACUGCGGAGCUUGCAUGUGAUGGAGGCAGAAUUUGUCUUACUACUACUACUCCCCUCUCUCAAAGUUCCUU
Molecule: long non-coding RNA, 167 nt
Organism: Sander lucioperca (pikeperch)
Lineage: Eukaryota; Metazoa; Chordata; Actinopteri; Perciformes; Percidae
Exons: 3
Source: RefSeq, a predicted model, not a curated record